Molecule: transfer RNA, 93 nt
Filed under: Micromonospora sp. WMMD812
Lineage: Bacteria; Bacillati; Actinomycetota; Actinomycetes; Micromonosporales; Micromonosporaceae
Description: tRNA-Ser
Source: RNAcentral
GGAGGGGCCAGCCGACGGCAGGCGCCGGCCACCGUCUCGAAAACGGUUGGGGUGUGAAAGCCCGUAGGAGUUCGAUCCUCCUUCCCUCCGCCA